GCUAGGCGUGGUGGCUCAUGCCUGUAAUCCCAGCACUUUGGGAGGCUGAGGUGGGUGGAUCACCUGAGGUCAGGAGUUAGAGACCAGCCUGACCAACAUGGUGAAACCCCAUCUCUA
Molecule: non-coding RNA, 117 nt
Filed under: Homo sapiens (human)
Lineage: Eukaryota; Metazoa; Chordata; Mammalia; Primates; Hominidae
Source: Rfam by way of RNAcentral